AUGAUCAAGAGCUAUAAUUUCAUGCGAAAUGUCAAGAAAAACUUAUUCAAAAUCUAUCCAGAUUUCAUCCAAAACUUCCUCAUUCAAUGUUCAAGUGUUAGAGUACACCAUUGUCACUUACAAACUCAAAUCAUUACACCAAUAAUAAAGCGAGAAGCUCAAAUUAUAAAUAUCACGAAAAUUGCAAGAAUUGGCAAAACCCAGCUUUCCAUGCUCUCUGUCUUCAUGCCUCAACCAAAUUCCAUGUUUUCUUUCAAGUCUCCAAACCAAGCUGACAGUUAG
Molecule: non-coding RNA, 282 nt
Organism: Vicia faba (fava bean)
Lineage: Eukaryota; Viridiplantae; Streptophyta; Magnoliopsida; Fabales; Fabaceae
Source: the annotation of a GenBank genome assembly